UCCCUGGUGGCUCAGAGGUUAAAGCAUCUGCCUAGAAUGCGGGAGACCCAGGUUCGAUCCCUGGGUUGGGAA
Molecule: non-coding RNA, 72 nt
Organism: Bos taurus (domestic cattle)
Lineage: Eukaryota; Metazoa; Chordata; Mammalia; Artiodactyla; Bovidae
Source: Rfam